RNAcentral lists this long non-coding RNA (248 nucleotides) under Salvia miltiorrhiza (redroot sage). RNAcentral's name for it is "long non-coding RNA (SMIL_LNC003693)". The record is from RNAcentral. Lineage: Eukaryota; Viridiplantae; Streptophyta; Magnoliopsida; Lamiales; Lamiaceae.
CACAAUGUGCUCAAACUUUGGGGUUAGUGACCGCAAUAUUUUCUCCAUAAUUCUUACAUCCUCCAAUUUUUCUACCAUUUCUUUUCAUUUGAUUAGAUACCGCCAAGACUACUUGAAAAUAAUCCGAAAUUGACUCGGACUCUUUCAUAUGCAAAGACUCAAACUCUCCUCUUAAAGUUUGAAGUCGUACCUUUUUUACUUGCUCCGCUCCUUUGCACGCGUUCUGGAGCUUCUCCCACGCUUCUUUG